CGGCGAUGAACAGCCGCCUGCAGGAGAUCAGGGAGCGGCAGAAGCUCCGGCGGCAGCUCUUGGCGCAGCAGUUAGGAGCCGAGAACGCAGACAGUAUCGGUGCCGUGCUGAACAGCAAAGAUGACCAGCGGGAGAUCGCGGAAACGAGAGAAACGUGUAGGGCUGCCUAUGAUACUUCUGCACCAAAUGCAAAACGCAAAUACCCUGAUGAGGGAGAAGCUGAUGAGGAAGAGAUUGAAGAAUAUAAGGAUGAAGUAGAGCUGCAGCAAGAUGAAGAGAACCUGCCCUAUGAAGAAGAGAUUUACAAAGAUUCCAGUACCUUUCUUAAGGGUACUCAGAGCUUAAAUCCACACAACGAUUACUGCCAACACUUUGUGGAUACAGGACACAGACCCCAGAACUUCAUCAGAGAUGUUGGCUUAGCAGAUAGGUUUGAAGAAUAUCCAAAACUUAGAGAGCUCAUCAGAUUGAAGGAUGAGCUGAUAUCUAAAUCUAACACUCCUCCCAUGUACUUACAAGCAGACUUGGAAGCUUUUGAUAUUAGGGAACUGAAGUCCAAAUUUGAUGUGAUUCUCCUGGAACCACCACUGGAAGAAUACUACCGAGAGACUGGCAUUACUGCCAAUGAAAAAUGCUGGACCUGGGAUGAUAUCAUGAAAUUGGAAAUUGAAGAAAUUGCAGCCCCAAGGUCAUUUGUGUUUCUAUGGUGCGGUUCAGGCGAGGGUCUGGAUCUUGGCCGAGUGUGUCUACGCAAGUGGGGUUACAGAAGAUGUGAGGACAUUUGUUGGAUUAAAACGAAUAAGAACAAUCCUGGAAAGACCAAGACUCUAGACCCUAAGGCUGUUUUCCAAAGAACCAAGGAGCACUGCCUCAUGGGCAUUAAAGGAACUGUGCGUCGCAGUACAGAUGGUGACUUCAUCCAUGCUAAUGUUGACAUUGACCUAAUCAUCACAGAAGAGCCUGAAAUUGGCAACAUAGAAAAACCUGUAGAGAUUUUUCACAUCAUUGAGCAUUUCUGCCUUGGACGACGACGUCUUCAUCUUUUUGGAAGGGACAGUACAAUUCGACCAGGUUGGCUGACUGUAGGACCCACCCUCACAAACAGCAAUUUCAAUGCAGAAACGUAUUCUUCAUACUUCACAGCUCCAAAUUCCCACCUGACCGGCUGUACCGAGGAGAUUGAGAGACUUCGGCCCAAGUCACCACCACCCAAGUCCAAGUCUGACCGGGGAGGUGGUGCUCCAAGGGGAGGAGGAAGAGGAGGGACUUCAGCAGGCCGAGGAGAAAGGGGCAGAGAGAGGAACAGAACUAACUUUCGGGGUGAGAGGGGUGGCUUCAGAGGGGGACGUGGAGGUACCCAUAGAGGAGGCUUCCCCACCCGCUGAUGGCUCUUAGGUAAUUCCUGCUUCCCCCACUCCUACGCCUCGUCUCUGAAUCUUUUCCUUGGUCUUGUUUUUGCUGAAGUGAAUUAUUCCGGGGACUCAAGCUAGAUGACUUUUAAAAUUGUUUUUGGCGCAAGCGGUUACAGAUGUCUGCCUUCCAGUGAUGGGCCUGGCACAUCGCCUCACCUGGCAGGCAGGGUCCUGCACCCAACAGCCCUAAACUCGGCCUCCUGACAGCUUCCCUUUGUCACAGCAGAGAGCACCAGCUCUUCAAACCACAGACAGGGUUGAAGUGAAGAUACUUGCUCUUCCUUUAUGAAACGUCAAAACCACAGCUCUGAAC
RNA transcript from Gavia stellata (red-throated loon), 1725 nucleotides. It is a transcript of the gene named methyltransferase 14, N6-adenosine-methyltransferase subunit, with no coding region annotated. Lineage: Eukaryota; Metazoa; Chordata; Aves; Gaviiformes; Gaviidae. The record is from RefSeq and is a predicted model, not a curated record. The transcript is spliced from 12 exons.